AAAGCUCUUUUGUCAGGGAAGAAACGGGAUGUCCUAAUACGAUGUCCUAAUGACGGUACCUGAAGAAUAAGCACCGGCUAACUACGUGCCAGCAGCCGCGGUAAUACGUAGGGUGCAAGCGUUAAUCGGAAUUACUGGGCGUAAAGCGUGCGCAGGCGGUUAUGUAAGACAGGUGUGAAAUCCCCGGGCUUAACCUGGGAAUGGCAUUUGUGACUGCAUAGCUAGAGUGUGUCAGAGGGGGGUAGAAUUCCACGUGUAGCAGUGAAAUGCGUAGAGAUGUGGAGGAAUACCGAUGGCGAAGGCAGCCCCCUGGGAUAACACUGACGCUCAUGCACGAAAGCGUGGGGAGCAAACAGGAUUAGAUACCCUGGUAGUCCACGCCCUAAACGAUGUCUACUAGUUGUCGGGUCUUAAUUGACUUGGUAACGCAGCUAACGCGUGAAGUAGACCGCCUGGGGAGUACGGUCGCAAGAUUAAAACUCAAA
Molecule: ribosomal RNA, 485 nt
Filed under: bacterium Fuku2-ISO-133
Lineage: Bacteria
Description: bacterial SSU rRNA
Rfam family: Bacterial small subunit ribosomal RNA
Source: RNAcentral